Molecule: transfer RNA, 89 nt
Filed under: Rhodobiaceae bacterium
Lineage: Bacteria; Pseudomonadati; Pseudomonadota; Alphaproteobacteria; Hyphomicrobiales; Rhodobiaceae
Description: tRNA-Leu
Rfam family: tRNA
About the family: Transfer RNA (tRNA) molecules are approximately 80 nucleotides in length. Their secondary structure includes four short double-helical elements and three loops (D, anti-codon, and T loops).
Source: RNAcentral
GCGGACAUGGUGGAAUUGGUAGACACAUCAGACUUAAAAUCUGAAGGAGAUUAGUCUCCGUCCCGGUUCGAGUCCGGGUGUCCGCACCA